RNAcentral lists this non-coding RNA (28 nucleotides) under Mus musculus (house mouse). The record is from RNAcentral. Lineage: Eukaryota; Metazoa; Chordata; Mammalia; Rodentia; Muridae.
UAGGUAGCCAAAUUCCACAAUCCUGCGC